GGGGCUAAAACUUACUACCGAAGCUACGGCAUCAGUAAUGAUGGGUAGGGGAGCUUCCCAUACGGGUUGAAGCAUGACCGUAGGACAUGUGGACAGUAUGGGAGUGAGAAUGUUGGCAUGAGUAGCGAGAUGUGGGUGAGAAUCCCACAGGCCGUAAACCCAAGGUUUCCAGGGGAAGGUUCGUCCGCCCUGGGUUAGUCGGGACCUAAGCUGAGGCCGAAAGGCGUAGGUGAUGGACAACAGGUUGAUAUUCCUGUACUACCGAUAACCGUUUGAGAGAAGGGAUGACACAGUAGGAUAAGCUAAGCACACUGUUGGUCAUGUGUGCCCAAGCAUUGAGGCAGUCAAAGUAGGCAAAUCCGCUUUGAUAAUGCUGGGAUGUGAUGGGGAGCGAAAUUUAGUAGCGAAGUAGCUGAUUUCACACUGUCAAGAAAAGUCUCUAUCGAGGUUAAAGGUACCCGUACCGCAAACCGACACAGGUGGGUGAGGAGAGUAUCCUAAGGCCAGCGAGAGAACUGUUGUUAAGGAACUCGGCAAAAUGACCCCGUAACUUAGGGAUAAGGGGUGCCACCAUCAGGUGGCCGCAGAGAAUAGGCCCAAGCGACUGUUUACCAAAAACAUAGGUUUCUGCUAAGUCGCAAGACGAUGUAUAGGAGCUGACGCCUGCCCGGUGCUGGAAGGUUAAGGGGAUCUGUUAGAGCAAUCGAAGCAGUGAACUUAAGCCCCAGUAAACGGCGGCCGUAACUAUAACGGUCCUAAGGUAGCGAAAUUCCUUGUCGGGUAAGUUCCGACCCGCACGAAAGGCGUAACGAUUUGGGCACUGUCUCAACAACAGACUCGGUGAAAUUGUAAUUCCGGUGAAGAUGCCGGAUACCUGCGACAGGACGGAAAGACCCCAUGGAGCUUUACUGUAGCUUGACAUUGGGUCUUGGUACUACAUGUACAGGAUAGGUGGGAGGCUUUGAAACCAGGACGCCAGUUUUGGCGGAGCCAUCCUUGGGAUACCACCCUUGUAGUACUGGGACUCUAACCAUAGGCCAUGAAUCUGGUCUUGGGACACUGUCAGGUGGGCAGUUUGACUGGGGCGGUCGCCUCCCAAAAGGUAACGGAGGCGCUCAAAGGUUCUCUCAGUACGGUCGGAAAUCGUACGUAGAGUGUAAAGGCAAAAGAGAGCUUGAUUGCAAGACAUACAGGUCGAGCAAGGAUGAAAAUCGGACUUAGUGAUCCGGUGGUUCUGCGUGGAAGGGCCAUCGCUCAACGGAUAAAAGCUACCCUGGGGAUAACAGGCUUAUCUCCCCCAAGAGUCCACAUCGACGGGAGGUUUGGCACCUCGAUGUCGGCUCAUCACAUCCUGGGGCUGUAGUAGGUCCCAAGGGUUGGGCUGUUCGCCCAUUAAAGUGGUACGCGAGCUGGGUUCAGAACGUCGUGAGACAGUUCGGUCCCUAUCCGUCGCAGGCGUAGGAAAUUUGAGAAGACCUGUCCUUAGUACGAGAGGACCGGGAUGGACGUACCUCUGGUGUACCAGUUGUUCUGCCAAGGGCAUGGCUGGGUAGCUAUGUACGGAAUGGAUAAGCGCUGAAAGCAUCUAAGCGCGAAGCCAACUUCAAGAUAAGAUUUCCCACCGCAAGGGUAAGACCCCAGAAAGACUAUCUGGUUGAUAGGUCGAAGGUGUAAGUGCAGCAAUGUAUUUAGCUUAUCGAUACUAAUAGGUCGAGGACUUGACCAA
RNAcentral lists this ribosomal RNA (1726 nucleotides) under Clostridioides difficile DA00165. Its description in RNAcentral is "bacterial LSU rRNA". It matches the Rfam family "Bacterial large subunit ribosomal RNA", at positions 1177 to 2925 of the family's 2925-position model. The record is from RNAcentral. Lineage: Bacteria; Bacillati; Bacillota; Clostridia; Peptostreptococcales; Peptostreptococcaceae.